Sinocyclocheilus grahami is the source of this 146-nucleotide small nucleolar RNA. Lineage: Eukaryota; Metazoa; Chordata; Actinopteri; Cypriniformes; Cyprinidae. The record is from Ensembl.
CUUCAGUGAUGAUACGAUGACGAGUCGGAUUGAGGCCCGUCUCUGAGGAUUCUGGGUCAGGCUCACGUUCUGUGCGUCUGACUUCAGUUCCUCAGAGAUCAGGUGUCCUCUUAGAUUGAAGAUGUAGAGGCAUUUGUCUGAGAAGG